This 473-nucleotide ribosomal RNA is filed under the name uncultured delta proteobacterium. Its description in RNAcentral is "bacterial SSU rRNA". It matches the Rfam family "Bacterial small subunit ribosomal RNA", at positions 400 to 863 of the family's 1533-position model. Lineage: Bacteria; Deltaproteobacteria. The record is from RNAcentral.
CGUGAGUGAUGAAGGCUUUCGGGUCGUAAAGCUCUGUCAAGUGGGAAGAAACCGCAUGGUGCCAAUACCACCAUGUGUUGACGGUACCACUGAAGGAAGCACCGGCUAACUCCGUGCCAGCAGCCGCGGUAAUACGGGGGGUGCAAGCGUUAUUCGGAAUUACUGGGCGUAAAGAGCGCGUAGGCGGUCUUUUAAGUCAGGUGUGAAAGCCCGAGGCUUAACCUCGGAAGUGCACUUGAAACUAAAGGACUUGAGUAUGGGAGAGGGAAGUGGAAUUCCUGGUGUAGCGGUGAAAUGCGUAGAUAUCAGGAGGAACACCGGUGGCGAAGGCGACUUCCUGGACCAAUACUGACGCUGAGGCGCGAAGGCGUGGGGAGCAAACAGGAUUAGAUACCCUGGUAGUCCACGCAGUAAACUGUGAACACUAGGUGUAGCGGGUAUUGACCCCUGCUGUGCCGCAGCAAACGCAUUAA